This 21-nucleotide non-coding RNA is filed under the name Arabidopsis thaliana (thale cress). Lineage: Eukaryota; Viridiplantae; Streptophyta; Magnoliopsida; Brassicales; Brassicaceae. The record is from RNAcentral.
CAGCCAUGAGCUCAGCUUCAC